Non-coding RNA from Amborella trichopoda, 7075 nucleotides. NCBI's taxonomy places the organism in Eukaryota, Viridiplantae, Streptophyta, Magnoliopsida, Amborellales, Amborellaceae. The record is from RefSeq and is a predicted model, not a curated record.
AUGGCUGGUAGCUAGAACCAGGAGCUUGCAUGGAUGCUAGUGGCUUAGCACCAGAUGCUUCCAUGGUGAGAAAAAUAACCAGAAAGCGUCAUCGGUGGUAGCACAUUACUAGCAUCCAGCUCUUGGGACGAAGCUUUGGUUUUAUAUUACCAGAAGCUUUUUUGUUCAAAAGAAAUAUGUGGGGUUUGUGAGAAAGCGGCAAUUAUGAAGAAAGGAAGCAGUUUUGAAGAGAAAAGCACAUGGGUUCCUGAUCUUGAGUCCUGUUCUUACCCCCAAGAGGAGAAGUUCAGGGUUUCAGCGACGGAUUCCCAGUGCUAGAAAGUCACUCCGGGUAUGACUUCGGCCCAUGAAUCUCCCUUAGAAGUUUGGUUUUUCUUCUUUUGUUUUUCUUUUCGUUGCUGUUAUUUGUAGUUCUUUUUGAUCUAAGAAUAAGAAAGGACAUGGGAGUGUUAGAAAAGCUUCUGUUUGUGUUUGUGCCAAUCUUUGUUUCUUGUUGAUUCAUUAAUGUAUCAGGGGGAAAAUGUGCUCAUAUGAAUCUUGAGUUUGUUAUUAUUAUUUUUUUUUAUUUUGGAAGAAUUUGUUCCCAUAUGGAUGAGAAAAAUUAGUAAUUUUGAUUCGUAAUUUUGGAAGAAUUUGUUCCUCACUGUUAUUUGCAGUUCUUUUUUAUCUAAGAAUAAGAAAAAAGGAUAUGGGAGUGACAGAAAAGCUUCUAUUUGUGUUUCUGCCAAUCUUUAUUUCUUGUUGAUUCAUUCAUGUAUAAGGGGGAAAAUGUACUCAUAUGAAUCUUUAGUUUGUUAUUAUUAUUUUAUUUUAUUUUGGAAGAAUUUUUUCCCUUAUGGAUGAGAAAAAUUAGUAAUUUUGACUCGAAACCUAUAAAUUUUCAGUCAUAAUACCUUCUUAAUUAAUUUCAAGUAGUUAUUUUUUUCGUGGCUAGUAGGGGGAGGCAAUCCAUGGGAUACUUGUAUGUCAAAAAGUUGGUUCACUAAAUAGAUGCAAUGUCUAGUUGGUGGCUUGUCUGGUCCCUUGUUAAAAUUUACCCCAUAAUUCAGAUCUUAAAGUGCCCAACUAAACCCAUUAUUUAUUAUAAGGACCUGAUUGAAUCAAUUGGUCCAACUAGUCGGAUUGCCGUCUGGUGGCUUGGCCAGUUUGGUCCAAAGCAAAAGUUGUGUUUGGUGAAAAUGGGCAUGACUUUAUAUCAUGGUGUGGUUCUGCCAUCUUGAUCACUCAGUCUAAAUGCCCAUUUCUUGCUAAAUUGGUUUUGACCAGUUGGAUCUAGUGAUCAACCGUUUUUAACUAGUUGGGCUGGAUGAACAUAGUUGGGCAAUUUUUUAUGUAAUAUAUUUCAUAUUUUUAAGCUAUUUUUCAUUUAUUUAUUUUUUUGUUAAUUCCCUUUCAACCUACGGAUUGAAUUAAUUUUGACUGGACUUGACCAUUCAUUGGUUCUGUCAUCAGUCUGAUCAUUCUAACACUCAGUGAAAUGUUUCUGAAUUCAAAAUAACUUGCAUUCAUUGCAAGCGCAUUCAUAUUUUUGGCCUCCCUGGUUUGUCACUUUCAGAUCAAAAGUAUCUUCCAUGAUGUAAAAUAGUGGUCCUGCACUCUUUACUGCUGACAGUACUUGUGGGGUUGGUAGGGGACAACAUUCAAAAAUUAUGAAAACCCUAUUAUCUUUUACCAUUUUGCUUCCUAGGUGAGGCUUAUAGACCAGUCCUAUUAAUGUCUGGGUAGUUCAGCUCUUGAAGAGCGGGACCAAGGAAGGCAAAAUGAUGCAUAUAUUUAGGCCUACUGACUGCCCUUUUUUUUUUCUCAAUAAUAUGGUCCAAUUCUUUUGUAAUUGGACCAUUGAGUUCAAAAUGACAAAAAAAAUCAAGGACCAGUGACUUCCCUAAUUUUUUUGCAAUAACAAGAGCCAGAUUUAUGAGGACAAAAUGGUAACCAAGACUGGCUGAUUACAAUCUUAAUUUACCUGAAAUUACUUUAAUCUGCCACUAAAAUUGCCAACUGUCCAUGAAAAAGGCUAAAUAAAAUCUACACAUUUGCUUAGCUUUUUAGCUAGCCUUUGACCUUUGUCUGGCACUUAAAAUUCGAAAUGCUGUUUUAUGUGAAGUAAAUUUGGUUCUCUGCAUUGCAUUUAAUCUUAUGCAAAAAGAUUGAUGGCAAACAGUUAUUUAGGUGUUCAAUAUCUUUUGCUCUCUCUCUCCCCAUCCAUUUGCUUUAAUCAUCGGGCCAAUGUUUUACUUAACAAAAGUUCUGUCUUUCGCAUGCCUAAAUUUAGUUUGCCACCUAAAAUUGUCCCGUCUUCAGAAUUGCCUUACCUAUACAGGUUCGGUUCACAGUUAUAGUGUCCAUUUGCACUAGCUUUGAUAGAGAUGAAACAAUUCUUAUGAGGAUCUAAAUUUCACUGUCUCACCCGCGGGUCGGUCCUCUCAGUGGAAGGCUUAUAACACCUAUGAGAGUAGUUGUUGUACAAAGUGUGCUCUAGAAAAGUUGGGUAAUACAAUGCCUAAAAACAGAGGUAGGGGCUCUGUUUGCAAAGGCUUUGGAAGCUAAGUGCCAGACCGGGCAGAGCUUAAUAUAGUAUUGACAAACUGAAAUGAAGAAACGCGUGUGGGAAGGUCUCCCGGGCUUAGGUGGUGGCUACUGCUUUUGUGAUGGCACCCUCCUUAGCUAGAUGGUCUGCCAGUGCGUUUGAUUCCCUCCAGAUAUUUGUCCAUGAGACGGGAAUAUCCUUGUAGAGGUAAGAUAUCUCGUCAAAAAUCGUAGUGAGGUACCAGGGAGGAGAAACAAGACCUGCAGCCCAAGAGACUAAAUUCCGUGUGUCCCCUUCCACUAGAAGUGGUUGAACCCAUGCAGGAUCAAAGAGUUUGAUGCCGUAAGCAAGGCGAGGGAUUCCGCCAGUUGUUAAUUGGCGUGGCCUAUGUGUCUGGAGAACUGUGCCAAGGUGUUCCCUUGGUAGUCUCUAAACACCCCCCCAACCCUUGAGGGGCCAGGAUUUCCAAGCGAGCAGCCAUCUAAGUUGAACUUAAUUGCACCCUACGGAGGGGGAGACCAUCCCACAUGGCGUGUGGGUCGAGUGUGCUGAUGCAGAAGUAAUUGUGGCUAGUUGACUAAGAAGUUAGAGGAAGGGAGGUACUUGAAGGCCUUGUGAUUAGUGGCCCAGAAAGUUAUGAGAGUGUGGAUUUUGUGGAAUAAGGCGGGAUUAUUGCAAUGGGCUCCUCGAAAAAUUCUUGUGUUCCUUACCAUCCAUAAAGUCCAAUUGUGGCCUUUGUCGCUGCCUUCAAAGGAGCCUCCCAGCUUUGGGCCACGGUAGACAGUCUGCUAGGUUAAAAAGUCCAGUGAUGGAGGCUGGCAUGACCUAGGUCAAGCCGAAAAGGUUAAGGAGUUUGCUCCACUGGUAAUGGGCUAUAUCGCAGUGGAUGAAUAGGUGAGGGUGGUUUUUUUCUUCUUAUAGACAAAAGGCUUAUCGAUUCGGAAAAGGGAUACCUCUUCACUUGAGUUGGUCCACUGUUAGCACUUUUUUCGCACAAGCGAUCCAAUUGAACGCUUGCACUUUUGGUGGCGCUAUUGAUGACCAUACCUUGUAAGCUACCGAAGGGGAUGAGGGGUGAGAUGGUAGUAAUGUUCUAUAGAACAAGGACACCGACAAGGAGUCGGAGGCAUCUAGCGUCCAUAUGAUCCUGUCCGGUCCUGAAGGUGGAAUAAAAUAAUCAUUGAGCAGGGCUGAGAGGGGGAUGAACUCCAGGAGUUCGACGUCAGAAAGAGGUCGCCUAAAAGAGGGGUUCCAAACUCUUCUGUUACCUAUCAGUUGAAGUUCUUCCGAGAUCGAGGCUAGCGGCUUUGUGGUAAGGGAGUACAAUGAGGGAUAACGAUCCUUGAGAGGAGUGUGUCCCAACCAAGGUCUGACCAAAUCGAACCCUACUGCCAGACCUCGGGUGGAACCUGAUGGAUUGUUUAAAAGUAGACAAGAUUGAUAGGAACGAUUUCCAAGCUCCCAAGGGUCUGUUGUGGGACCUCCCCUCUGGUAGCCAGACUUCAGAUGGGAUUCUAUACUUGUGUCGGAGCACAUGUGACCAGAGCAGAUUAGGGGAGUUUGCCAAGCGCCACCGCCAUUUGCCCAACAUAGUUAGGUUCUGCUUUCUCAGGGAACGAAUCCCAAGUCCUCCCUAAGGCUUCGAUCGGUAGACCUUAUCUCAGGCAACGAGGUUGAAUUUUUUUGACUCAGGCUCUCCUAACCAGAGGAAGUUCAUUGACGGACUUAAUGGUACAUUCCUUCUCAAAAAAAAAAAUGAACUUAAUGGUACAUUUCCUUUUUAUACAGAACUGUUUCUACAAAUUUUAAGAAAAGAAAAACAAAAUAUUGUUUCAUUUCAACUUGUCCUAUGAGCUCAAACAAAUCUUAUGGAAGAACAUUUUGUGGUAACGUUUUGGUUUAAAGCAUGUCUGCAAUAGAUUUUAUGCAAUCUGAUAGGCAUGAUGAUGUUGGGUCCUAGUCAGCAAUUUGAGUGUUUCUUAUAUUAUAACAUAGUUCUUGAGAUCCCUGGAUCUCUUUUAUUUUUUAUUUUUAUUUAUCUAUUUAUUUUUGUGUCAAAUCUUUCAGAUACCAUGACUAAGGACAGUUUAGGAGGAAUGUUGUUUGAGUUUCUUUUGAUCUCCUUUGUUCACUUUGCUGAACUUUUUUAGUUGGUGAUGGAUCCAUUCAUGCUUAUAUAUUAGUUUAUUAUUGCAUGGUUUAAUUCUUUAAUUACUUGCCUGUAGUGUUGUUACAUGGUAAUAAGUUUAGCUUAAUGAGCACUCAAUUGUACAAUACAGAAUUUGCAGCACAAACAAAUGUGAUCGCUUUGAUAAGAUUCACAGUGAUACAAUAGAAACAAAGAUAGAUUAUGAAUAGCAAGUUCAAAGGCGGCACUAGUGACAAAGAUAAUUAUAAUCAUCGUUCUACAGAUUCUCCUGCUCCUAUCUAUUGUUUUCUCUUUGCUUUUCCCUAAGAAAGAGCUCAGAAUUCUCAACAUAUAAGUCCAGUGUUCGGGUCCUUUUUUUUUAUGUGUAUAAUUGCUUUGCUUAUGUUCUUAGUAUCCUUUUCCUGCAAAUGCUUUCCUUUUCGGAAGCUUCAUCAAUAUUUUUCUAGUACCUUUUCUAUAACUUUCCCUUUUUUCCAUCUCCUAAUGCAGAACAAUAUUGCAAAAAAUACAAUGGAGUUAGGCCUGAAGAGGUUCCCAUUUACUAAAGCUUUAGAUGAUACUCUUUUUAUUUCAAGCUCAAAUAAAUAAGAAACAAUGAUGCUUUAGAAAAUGGUAAAAGCAUACCAGAAUCCUUAUAACAUAUAGAGAAAAAUUGAAUGUCUGACAGAGAAUUAAUGUCUAAGGAAGACAAGUUUACAAAUGUAUGUCUGAUACAUUUAAUGUUAUCCAAAAUCAUUUAUGAUUACAGUAACCCCUUACCAUUACAUUCCAUAAUUUAGUUGACAUAUGGUCUCUUUGAUCAAUGGUGGUGGGUUUGGUAGGUUGAGUUACAUGAAAUUGGGAGAUGAUUUCCUGCCCUCAGGUUUCAACAAGAAUGGGUUGCAAGAUUCAGUAUUUUUUAUAAAUUUAUUUUUCUGUACAAUCUGGGUCUUUAAGGGUUGGCUAUGACUAUCUUGGAGAAAAUACUUUCAAUGCUCUGAGCACCAGACCAUGGAGGGAAACAUAGUAAAAGGAAAUACCUUUCACUUCUGUUUAUGCCGUUGCCUUGUUCGGCAACUAAAGUGAUGCCGCUAUAUCUAUUAUGUUGUCUAAACAGUUGUGCCUCACUCAUUUCUUUCCAUUAUUUGCCAGGAUUUUUUUUAAUGUUUCCCAUGAAGACCUUUAUUCAUUCGAUAUUUUGCAAUCCAUUUUUGAAAAAUUUCAUAUUGUAGUCCAAUUUACCACAGUUACAGUAAAAUUGUGGAUUCAACUGUUUGUAUUCGAUAUGUAGUCUUAAGUGACUAAUAAGUUGAUCAAGAAAGGGUAUAGAUUUGUCUUCAAUAUGUAGUAUUAAGUGCCUGAUAAGUUGAUCAAGAAAGGGUAUGGGAUGGUGGUUUGCACCAUCUUGCUCACUGCCAUUUGCCUUUGGAUGUUCACAUGUUACCUAGCUCCUUCUGUUAUUCCUAUUGUUUUAUUUUUUACAAAAAUCAAGACAAAAUGCCUUGAAAUUAGAAGACAUGUCAAUGAACUCUUCAAGUGCUUCAAACCAUUACUUGAAAAUUUUGAAUAUCAGACAAUCUUGUGGACUUUGCCAUGCCAAAGUGGUAGCAUAUGUCUUUCCUUGCCGGGCUAUAGGUUUGUGUAACAUUAUUAAGUAGUGAACUACUGUCUCUCUCCAUUACCUCGUUCUACUACAACAUUAUCCUGUUCUCGUAGGGCCUCUUGCUACCCUGUUCUGACCUGUCAACCUUGGGAAAUUCAUUUAUGCCGGAGAUUCGACUGAACAAUUGGGUUUCUCGAAUAAAUCAUGCUGUUUGGCAAAAAGUUCCCCGUGUACUCUAGAAAAAUAAUGAGAUCACAUGGCAUCAAGACUUUUGGACUUUGGCUUCAGGGACUGUUGCUGAGAUGAACAGGUCCGUCCGCAUUUAUCUUUGUCUUCAAUCAAAUAAAGAAUCAAGUAGGACUUCACAGCAAGGGCUAUACCUGACCCUACCAGGUCAGAAUCAAACUGGGACCUAGUGGGGUCUAGGUCUGUUAGAUCCGGAGUGGAGUUGCCUCACUUGAUCUGGGUGGUCUAGCCAGACCUUGAUUUGGGUCCGUUUACGGCCGCCUAAACGUGGCCCAGCCUUGGACUCGAUACUUCGGGAUGGGGUUUGGACUCCCAAUGCUGGUCUGCAUCCAUAGAUCAAAUCCAAACCUUACAGUCUUGCUGGGUUUUGGGGAGUGCAUUGAGACCCAAACGAGACAACAAACUCACUUAUUUGACAGCCCUAUUGACAUCAAGAUUAAACUCGUUUAAGGAAUGGGCACAAAAUAAGGUGGUCAGGGUGGCUAGGUACUACAAUAUAACGUCUUGAGUUCUACAAUAUGGUCAACCAACAUGCCCACACAACUUAAAAUGCUACUACAGUAUUUUGAUU